AUUGAACGCUGGCGGCAGGCCUAACACAUGCAAGUCGAACGGUAACAGGAAGCAGCUUGCUGCUUUGCUGACGAGUGGCGGACGGGUGAGUAAUGUCUGGGAAACUGCCUGAUGGAGGGGGAUAACUACUGGAAACGGUAGCUAAUACCGCAUAACGUCGCAAGACCAAAGAGGGGGACCUUCGGGCCUCUUGCCAUCGGAUGUGCCCAGAUGGGAUUAGCUAGUAGGUGGGGUAACGGCUCACCUAGGCGACGAUCCCUAGCUGGUCUGAGAGGAUGACCAGCCACACUGGAACUGAGACACGGUCCAGACUCCUACGGGAGGCAGCAGUGGGGAAUAUUGCACAAUGGGCGCAAGCCUGAUGCAGCCAGGCCGCGUGUAUGAAGAAGGCCUUCGGGUUGUAAAGUACUUUCAGCGGGGAGGAAGGGAGUAAAGUUAAUACCUUGGCUCAUUGACGUUACCGGCAGAAGAAGCACCGGCUAACUCCGUG
Molecule: ribosomal RNA, 490 nt
Filed under: uncultured bacterium
Lineage: Bacteria
Description: partial 16S ribosomal RNA
Rfam family: Bacterial small subunit ribosomal RNA
Source: RNAcentral